This is a long non-coding RNA of Tympanuchus pallidicinctus (lesser prairie-chicken), 992 nucleotides long. RefSeq lists it as uncharacterized. NCBI's taxonomy places the organism in Eukaryota, Metazoa, Chordata, Aves, Galliformes, Phasianidae. The record is from RefSeq and is a predicted model, not a curated record. The transcript is spliced from 3 exons.
UGGGGUUGAACUUGGGGAUCCUGGAGAUCUCUUCCAAGCUUGAUGACACAGUGGUUCCAUUUUAGGUCAUGGUGGGGUGGGUUGGGGUUGGAGUUGAACUGGAUGACCUUGGAGGCCUUCUCCAACCUUCAUGACCCUAUGGAUCCAUUUAGGGUCAUGGUGGGAUGGGUUGGGGUUGGAGUUGAACUGGAUGACCUUGGAGGCCUUCUCCAACCUUCAUGACCCUAUGGAUCCAUUUAGGGUCAUGGUGGGGUGGGUUGGGGUUGGAGUUGAACUGGAUGACCUUGGAGGUCUUCUCCAACCUUCAUGACCCUAUGGAUCUAUUUAGGGUCAUGGUGGGGUGGGUUGGGGUUGGAGCUGGGGAUCUUGGAGAUCUUUUCCAAGCUUGGUGACACAGUGGUACCAUUUUAGGUCAUGGUGGGGUGGGUUGGGGUUGGAGUUGAACUGGAUGACCUUGGAGGUCUUCUCCAACCUUCAUGACCCUACGGAUCCAUUUAGGGUCAUGGUGGGGUGGGUUGGGCUUGGGGAUCCUGGAGAUCUCUUCCAACCUCUAUGACCCUUUGGUGGACGUGGUGGGGACGAGUUGAGCCCUGCACUCGGGGAUGCUGGAGGUCUUUUCCAACAUUAGCAGUUCCGUGACAGCGCUGGGAGCAGACGGGGACACCACGCAGUGGGGUUCCUGGUUAUGGGGCAGCGCUCCCAGCGAUGGGGCAGCGCUCGGCUCCCGGCGAAGGGCUCAUAAAAAGCCCGACUGAAGCCGGUGGCAUUUUGGAGCAGAGUUAAGUAAUUUUCCUGGAUUUCAGGGAUUUUUUCCUUGUCACUGGUGACCUCAUAGUAUAGAGUAAUGCACGGAAACUUUCGGCUCGUUCCAAGAGAGCUUAAAAAACACUAAAAAAGGAAAAACUAUCUUUCCGUUGGCUCCCUGAGCCCCGUCCAGAAGAAAGAGGGCUGUCUGUUAGCAACAGUGAAAGAUAAUCCGGGUGUGAGUAAUG